Molecule: ribosomal RNA, 254 nt
Filed under: uncultured bacterium
Lineage: Bacteria
Description: partial 16S ribosomal RNA
Rfam family: Bacterial small subunit ribosomal RNA
Source: RNAcentral
UACGAAGGGGGCUAGCGUUGCUCGGAAUCACUGGGCGUAAAGGGUGCGUAGGCGGGUCUUUUAAGUCAGGGGUGAAAUCCUGGAGCUCAACUCCAGAACUGCCUUUGAUACUGAAGAUCUUGAGUUCGGGAGAGGUGAGUGGAACUGCGAGUGUAGAGGUGAAAUUCGUAGAUAUUCGCAAGAACACCAGUGGCGAAGGCGGCUCACUGGCCCGGUACUGACGCUGAGGCGCGAAAGCGUGGGGAGCAAACAGG